Molecule: long non-coding RNA, 148 nt
Organism: Thalassophryne amazonica
Lineage: Eukaryota; Metazoa; Chordata; Actinopteri; Batrachoidiformes; Batrachoididae
Exons: 3
Source: RefSeq, a predicted model, not a curated record
GGUGCUAGUUCAUGAAUAAUAUGGCAGGUUAAUAGCAGAACCUUAAAAUUUGAUCUCACAGGGACAGGAAGCCAUUGAAGAGAUGCCAAAAUGGGUGUAAUGUGGUCAAACUUUCUGCUUCCUUCUGAGUGCAACAUCUAAAAGAAAU